This 739-nucleotide ribosomal RNA is filed under the name uncultured Pseudomonadota bacterium. RNAcentral's name for it is "bacterial SSU rRNA". It matches the Rfam family "Bacterial small subunit ribosomal RNA", at positions 88 to 863 of the family's 1533-position model. Lineage: Bacteria; Pseudomonadati; Pseudomonadota. The record is from RNAcentral.
AUACUUANUGGCAGACGGGAUGAGUAACAUGUAGGUAUCUACCCUUUUGCCUGGAAUAACACGAGGAAACUUGUGCUAAUACCGGAUAAGUCUUUACGGAGAAAGCUUUAUGCACCAUUGGAUGAGCCUGCACGUUGAUUAGUUUGUUGGUGGGGUAAUGGCCUACCAAGACUGUGAUCAAUAGCUGAUUUGAGAGGAUGAUCAGCCACAUUGGGACUGAGACACGGCCCAAACUCCUACGGGAGGCAGCAGUGGGGAAUCUUGCACAAUGGAGGAAACUCUGAUGCAGCGAUGCCGCGUGAGUGAAGAAGGCCUUUGGGUUGUAAGCUCUUCCGUCGGGGAAGAAAAUGACUGUACCCGAAUAANAAGGUCCGGCUAACUUCGUGCCAGCAGCCGCGGUAAUACGAAGGGACCUAGCGUAGUUCGGAAUUACUGGGCUUAAAGAGUUCGUAGGUGGUUGAAAAAGUUAGUGGUGAAAUCCCAGAGCUUAACUCUGGAACUGCCAUUAAAACUUUUCAGCUAGAGUAUGAUAGAGGAAAGCAGAAUUUCUAGUGUAGAGGUGAAAUUCGUAGAUAUUAGAAAGAAUACCAAUUGCGAAGGCAGCUUUCUGGAUCAUUACUGACACUGAGGAACGAAAGCAUGGGUAGCGAAGAGGAUUAGAUACCCUCGUAGUCCAUGCCGUAAACGAUGUGUGUUAGACGUUGGAAAUUUAUUUUCAGUGUCGCAGCGAAAGCGAUAA